Gongylonema pulchrum is the source of this 71-nucleotide non-coding RNA. NCBI's taxonomy places the organism in Eukaryota, Metazoa, Nematoda, Chromadorea, Rhabditida, Gongylonematidae. The record is from Rfam.
GGAUCGGUGGUGUAGUGGUAGCACGUUGCCUGCGGAUGUGAAGAGGAGUGGUUCGAUUCUUUCCCGGUCCA